AGAUUGAACGCUAGCGGGAUGCUUACACAUGCAAGUCGAACGGCAGCGCGGACUUCGGUCUGGCGGCGAGUGGCGAACGGGUGAGUAAUAUAUCGGAACGUGCCCAGUAGCGGGGGAUAACUACGCGAAAGCGUGGCUAAUACCGCAUACGCCCGUACGGGGGGAAAGGGGGGGAUCGCAGGACCUCUCACUAUUGGAGCGGCCGAUAUCAGAUUAGCUAGUUGGUGAGGUAAGCUCACAAGGCGACGAUCUGUAGCGUUGGUUAGAGAGGACGACCAGCCACACGUGGACUGAGACACGGCCAGACUCCGUACGGGAGCAGCAGGUAGGGUAAUUUGGACAAGUACGGGGG
Molecule: ribosomal RNA, 352 nt
Filed under: uncultured soil bacterium
Lineage: Bacteria
Description: bacterial SSU rRNA
Rfam family: Bacterial small subunit ribosomal RNA
Source: RNAcentral